CCUACGGGGGACAGCAGUGAGGAAUAUUGGUCAAUGGGCGCGAGCCUGAACCAGCCAAGUAGCGUGAAGGAUGACUGCCCUACGGGUUGUAAACUUCUUUUAUAAAGGAAUAAAGUGAGGCACGUGUGCCGUUUUGUAUGGACGUUAUGAAUAAGGAUCGGCUAACUCCGUGCCAGCAGCCGCGGUAAUACGGAGGUUCCGAGCGUUAUCCGGAUUUCUUGGGGUUAAAGGGAGCGUAGCUGGGUUGUUAAGUCAGUUGUGAAAGUUUGCGGCUCAACCGUAAAAUUGCAAUUGAUACUGGCAGUCUUGCGUACAGUUGAGGUAGGCGGCAUUCGUGGUGUAGCGGUGAACUGCUUAGAUCUCAC
Molecule: ribosomal RNA, 365 nt
Filed under: uncultured bacterium
Lineage: Bacteria
Description: partial 16S ribosomal RNA
Rfam family: Bacterial small subunit ribosomal RNA
Source: RNAcentral